Molecule: ribosomal RNA, 445 nt
Filed under: uncultured bacterium
Lineage: Bacteria
Description: bacterial SSU rRNA
Rfam family: Bacterial small subunit ribosomal RNA
Source: RNAcentral
UCCUACGGGAGGCAGCAGUGGGGAAUAUUGGACAAUGGACCACAAGUCUGAUCCAGCAAUUCUGUGUGCACGAUGACGUUUUUCGGAAUGUAAAGUGCUUUCAGUCGGGAAGAAGUCAGUGACGGUACCGACAGAAGAAGCGACGGCUAAAUACGUGCCAGCAGCCGCGGUAAUACGUAUGUCGCAAGCGUUAUCCGGAUUUAUUGGGCGUAAAGCGCGUCUAGGCGGCAAGGAAAGUCUGAUGUGAAAAUGCGGAGCUCAACUCCGUAUGGCGUUGGAAACUGCCUUACUAGAGUACUGGAGAGGUAGGCGGAACUACAAGUGUAGAGGUGAAAUUCGUAGAUAUUUGUAGGAAUGCCGAUGGGGAAGCCAGCCUACUGGACAGAUACUGACGCUAAAGCGCGAAAGCGUGGGUAGCAAACAGGAUUAGAUACCCUGGUAGUCA